Molecule: ribosomal RNA, 472 nt
Filed under: marine sediment bacterium ISA-7270
Lineage: Bacteria
Description: bacterial SSU rRNA
Rfam family: Bacterial small subunit ribosomal RNA
Source: RNAcentral
UGCCUAAUACAUGCAAGGUCGAGCGAAUGGAUUGAGAGCUUGCUCUCGGAAGUUAGCGGCGGACGGGUGAGUAACACGUGGGUAACCUGCCCAUAAGACUGGGAUAACUCCGGGAAACCGGGGCUAAUACCGGAUAAUAUUUUGAACUGCAUGGUUCGAAAUUGAAAGGCGGCUUCGGCUGUCACUUAUGGAUGGACCCGCGUCGCAUUAGCUAGUUGGUGAGGUAACGGCUCACCAAGGCAACGAUGCGUAGCCGACCUGAGAGGGUGAUCGGCCACACUGGGACUGAGACACGGCCCAGACUCCUACGGGAGGCAGCAGUAGGGAAUCUUCCGCAAUGGACGAAAGUCUGACGGAGCAACGCCGCGUGAGUGAUGAAGGCUUUCGGGUCGUAAAACUCUGUUGUUAGGGAAGAACAAGUGCUAGUUGAAUAAGCUGGCACCUUGACGGUACCUAACCAGAAAGCCACGGC